This 469-nucleotide ribosomal RNA is filed under the name uncultured bacterium. RNAcentral's name for it is "partial 16S ribosomal RNA". It matches the Rfam family "Bacterial small subunit ribosomal RNA", at positions 28 to 507 of the family's 1533-position model. The record is from RNAcentral.
GACGAACGCUGGCGGCGUGCUUAACACAUGCAAGUCGAACGGAAAGGCCCUGCUUGCAGGGUGCUCGUGUGGCGAACGGGUGAGUAACACGUUGGUGAUCUGCCCCUUACUUUGGGAUAAGCCUGGGAAACUGGGUCUAAUACUGGAUAGGACCAUGCUGUAGGUGGUGUGGUGGAAAGAUUAGUUUCGGUAAGGGAUGAGCUCGCGGCCUAUCAGCUUGUUGGUGGGGUAAUGGCCUACCAAGGCGUCGACGGGUAGCCGGCCUGAGAGGGUGGACGGCCACAUUGGGACUGAGCUACGGCCCAGACUCCUACGGGAGGCAGCAGUGGGGAAUAUUGCACAAUGGGCGCAAGCCUGAUGCAGCGACGCCGCGUGGGGGAUGACGGCCUUCGGGUUGUAAACUCCUUUCAGCCAUGACGAAGCCCUUGUGGUGACGGUAGUGGUAGAAGAAGCACCGGCUAACUACGUG